GCAAGUCGAACGAGAAAGCACCUUCGGGUGUGAGUAGAGUGGCGCACGGGUGAGUAAUGCAUAGGAACGUACCUUCGGGAGUGGGAUAACCACAGGAAACUGUGGCUAAUACCGCAUAGUCUCGCAAGAGUAAAGGUGGCCUCUUCUUGAAAGCUACCGCCCAAAGAUCGGCCUAUGUCCCAUUAGCUUGUUGGUAAGGUAACGGCUUACCAAGGCUACAAUGGGUAGCUGGUCUGAGAGGAUGAUC
Molecule: ribosomal RNA, 247 nt
Filed under: uncultured bacterium
Lineage: Bacteria
Description: partial 16S ribosomal RNA
Rfam family: Bacterial small subunit ribosomal RNA
Source: RNAcentral